RNAcentral lists this ribosomal RNA (447 nucleotides) under uncultured bacterium. RNAcentral describes it as "partial 16S ribosomal RNA". It matches the Rfam family "Bacterial small subunit ribosomal RNA", at positions 29 to 523 of the family's 1533-position model. The record is from RNAcentral.
AACGAACGCUGGCGGCAGGCUUAACACAUGCAAGUCGAACGCCCCGCAAGGGGAGUGGCAGACGGGUGAGUAACGCGUGGGAAUCUACCCAUCCCUACGGAACAACUCCGGGAAACUGGAGCUAAUACCGUAUACGCCCUUAGGGGGAAAGAUUUAUCGGGGAUGGAUGAGCCCGCGUUGGAUUAGCUAGUUGGUGGGGUAAAGGCCUUCCAAGGCGACGAUCCAUAGCGGGUCUGAGAGGAUGAUCAGCCACAUUGGGACUGAGAAACGGCCAAAACGCAAACGGGAGGCAGCAGUGGGGAAUAUUGGACAAUGGGCGCAAGCCUGAACCAGCCAUGCCGCGUGAGUGAUGAAGGCCUUAGGGUUGUAAAGCUCUUUCACCGAUGAAGAUAAUGACGGUAGUCGGAGAAGAAGCCCCGGCUAACUUCGUGCCAGCAGCCGCAGUAA